This 412-nucleotide long non-coding RNA is filed under the name Brassica napus (rape). Its description in RNAcentral is "long non-coding RNA (BNAP_LNC024359)". Lineage: Eukaryota; Viridiplantae; Streptophyta; Magnoliopsida; Brassicales; Brassicaceae. The record is from RNAcentral.
UUUAGGGUUUACGUUUAGGGUUUAGAGUUGAUCUUUUAGGGUUUAGAUUUGAAGGUUUAGGGUUUUAGGGUUUAGGGUUUUAGGGUUUAGGGUUUAUGUUUAGGGUUUAGAGUUGAUGUUUUAGGGUUUUGAUUUGAAGGUUUAGGGUUUAGGGUUUAGAGUUGAUGUUUCGGGGUUUAGAGUUUAGAGUUGAUGUUUCAUGGUUUAGGGUUUAGGGUUUAGAGUUGAUGAUUUAGGGUUUGGAGUUGAUGUUUUAAGUUCAGAUUUAGGGUUUAGAGUUUACGUUUAGGGUUUAGAGUUGAUGUUUUAGGGUUUAGGGUUUAGAGUUGAUGUUUCAGGGUUUAGGGUUUAGAGUUGAUGUUUUAAGUUUAGAUUAGUUAACCGUAUGUUUUUUUUGUCAAAAGUAAUCAAA